UAAGCCAUAGUGUGAAGAAGUAAGUUUAUGUUAAUAUUACAUAAAUAAGGCAAUUUAAAAUAGUUUGUUGUGGGGAAAAAAAUAUUCAAAUAGCUAAAUAUGAUGUGUGAGAAUUAAAACGGCAGGAUAAUUCUCGUCAGGUGUUAAAUGUGUAUUCCCGCUGUUAGCUUAGCGUUAGCUAAGCCAUAGUGUGAAGAAGUAAGUUUAUGUGAAUAUUAAAUAAAUAAGGCAAUUUAAAAUAGUUUGUUGUGGGGCAAAAAUAAAUGGCCAUCUUCAACAUUUUCUGAGAUUUCUAAUUUGUCUUUUUCUACUUGUGCAGAUGGAGGCAUGAAAUGUGACGGGACAGCCACCGAGGACUUCAUACAGAUGUGUACUUCGGAGCAUCUCAAACAUGCACCACAAAGACGUGGAGGACACACCGCUGUCUCUCGACCUAGAAUCUUAAUGAAAGUAUAAUGAUGUUAAGGGAAGGUGUAAUGUAAAGUUGUAAUGGUGUUAAGGGAAGGUGUAGUGGAAAGGUGUGAUAGUGUUGAGGGAAGGUGUAAUGUUAAAGGUGUAAUAGUGUUGAGGGAAGGUGUAAUAGUGUUGAGGGAAGGGGUAAUGUUAAAGGUGUAAUAGUGUUGAGGGAAGGUGAAAUGUAAAGGUGUAAUAGUGUUGAGGGAAGGUAUAAUAUUGUUAAGGGAAGGUGUAAUGUAAAGGUGUAAUAGUGUUAAGGGAAGGUAUAAUAUUGUUAAGGGAAGGUGUAAUGUAAAGGUGUAAUAGUGUUAAGGGAAGGUAUAAUAGUGUUAAGGGAAGGUGUAAUGUAAAGGUGUAAUAGUGUUAAGGGAAGGUGUAAUGUAAAGGUGUAAUAGUGUUAAGGGAAGGUAUAAUAUUGUUAAGGGAAGGUGUAAUGUAAAGGUGUAAUAGUGUUAAGGGAAGGUAUAAUAUUGUUAAGGGAAGGUGUAAUGUAAAGGUGUAAUAGUGUUGAGGGAAGGUAUAAUAUUGUUAAGGGAAGGUGUAAUGUUAAAGGUGUAAUAGUGUUGAGGGAAGGUGUAAUAGUGUUGAGGGAAGGGGUAAUGUUAAAGGUGUAAUAGUGUUGAGGGAAGGUGAAAUGUAAAGGUGUAAUAGUGUUGAGGGAAGGUAUAAUAUUGUUAAGGGAAGGUGUAAUGUAAAGGUGUAAUAGUGUUAAGGGAAGGUAUAAUAUUGUUAAGGGAAGGUGUAAUGUAAAGGUGUAAUAGUGUUAAGGGAAGGUAUAAUAUUGUUAAGGGAAGGUGUAAUGUAAAGGUGUAAUAGUGUUAAGGGAAGGUAUAAUAGUGUUAAGGGAAGGUGUAAUGUAAAGGUGUAAUAGUGUUAAGGGAAGGUGUAAUGUAAAGGUGUAAUAGUGUUAAGGGAAGGUAUAAUAUUGUUGAGGGAAGGUGUAAUGUAAAGGUGUAAUAGUGUUGAUGGAAGGUAUAAUGUAAAGGUGUAAUAGUGUUGAUGGAAGGUAUAAUGUAAAGGUGUAAUAGUGUUGAGGGAAGGUGUAAUGUAAAGGUGUAAUAGUGUUGAUGGAAGGUGUAAUGUAAAGGUGUAAUAGUGUUGAGGGAAGGUGUAAUGUAAAGGUGUAAUAGUGUUGAUGGAAGGUGUAAUGUAAAGGUGUAAUAGUGUUGAGGGAAGGUGUAAUGUAAAGGUGUAAUAGUGUUGAUGGAAGGUGUAAUGUAAAGGUGUAAUAGUGUUGAUGGAAGGUGUAAUGUAAAGGUGUAAUAGUGUUGAGGGAAGGUAUAAUAUUGUUAAGGGAAGGUGAAAUGUAAAGCUGUAAUAGUUUUAAGGGAAGGUAAAUGUUUAGUGAAAUUGUUAUGGUGUGAAUCUAAGGUGUAUGUUAUGUUGAUGUAAAAUAAAGGCAUUAACCCCAAAUGAGAUUUACUCAUUAUGUUUAUUAUUAUAUUAAUGUUUCCCCAAACAGAAAGGGUCAAUUUAAAAUCAACAGUGGUAAGAUGGGGGUAAUUAAUUUAUCCCUUGCUUUUACUGGUUCUUUGCAGGUUGACAUGUUUUGGAAAAAGUGAGAGGGUUGAAAUGCAAUUUAUUUGUAAAGCAUAUUGUGUAUAACUAACGUGCAUAACUAGUUCCAGAAGGUUGUGAACCUGUUCCAGUAAUUGUUUGGCUUAGCUUUGUAUGCGUUUCC
Long non-coding RNA from Astyanax mexicanus (Mexican tetra), 2137 nucleotides. RefSeq lists it as uncharacterized. Lineage: Eukaryota; Metazoa; Chordata; Actinopteri; Characiformes; Acestrorhamphidae. The record is from RefSeq and is a predicted model, not a curated record. The transcript has 5 exons.